UCCCUGCCCUUUGUACACACCCGUCGCUCCUACCGAUUGAAAUGAUCCGGUGAAGUGUUCGGAUCGCGGCGACGUGGCGGUUCGCUGCCCGCGACGUCGCGAGAAAGUCCACUGAACCUUAUCAUUUAGAGGAAGAGAAGUCGUAACAAGGUUUCCGUAGGUGAACCUGCGGAAGGAUCAUUG
This 183-nucleotide non-coding RNA is filed under the name Ipomoea nil (Japanese morning glory). Its description in RNAcentral is "Eukaryotic small subunit ribosomal RNA". It matches the Rfam family "Eukaryotic small subunit ribosomal RNA", at positions 1650 to 1831 of the family's 1831-position model. Lineage: Eukaryota; Viridiplantae; Streptophyta; Magnoliopsida; Solanales; Convolvulaceae. The record is from Rfam by way of RNAcentral.